RNAcentral lists this ribosomal RNA (375 nucleotides) under uncultured soil bacterium. RNAcentral's name for it is "bacterial SSU rRNA". It matches the Rfam family "Bacterial small subunit ribosomal RNA", at positions 27 to 412 of the family's 1533-position model. The record is from RNAcentral.
GGAUUGAACGCUGGCGGCAUGCCUAACACAUGCAAGUCGAACGGGAGUAGCAAUACUCUAGUGGCGGACGGGUGAGGAAUACGUAGGAAUUUGCCCUUAAGUGGGGGAUAACCCGGGGAAACCCGGAUUAAUACCGCAUGACCUCGAAAGAGCAAAGUGGGGGAUCGCAAGACCUCACGCUUUUGGAGAAGCCUACGUCGGAUUAGCUAGUUGGUGAGGUAAAUGGCUCACCAAGGCGACGAUCCGUAACUGGUCUGAGAGGAUGAUCAGUCACACCGGAACUGAGACACGGUCCGGACUCCUACGGGAGCAGCAGUGGGGAAUAUUGGACAAUGGGCGACAAGCCUGAUCCAGCAAUGCCGCGUGUGUGAAGAA